This 56-nucleotide transfer RNA is filed under the name Ovis aries (sheep). It matches the Rfam family "tRNA", at positions 8 to 63 of the family's 71-position model. Rfam says of the family: Transfer RNA (tRNA) molecules are approximately 80 nucleotides in length. Their secondary structure includes four short double-helical elements and three loops (D, anti-codon, and T loops). The record is from Rfam by way of RNAcentral. Lineage: Eukaryota; Metazoa; Chordata; Mammalia; Artiodactyla; Bovidae.
UGGCUCAGAUGGUAAAGCGUCUGCCUGCAAUGCAGAAGACCUGGGUUCAAUCCCUG